This 676-nucleotide long non-coding RNA is filed under the name Medicago truncatula (barrel medic). Its description in RNAcentral is "lncRNA gene37120". Lineage: Eukaryota; Viridiplantae; Streptophyta; Magnoliopsida; Fabales; Fabaceae. The record is from RNAcentral.
UUCUAUUAUUUAUGUUCUUUAAUUUCAAUUGCAUCAGAUAAUCCUUAAGUUAUGUUUCUUUAAUGAGAAAUGAUAUUUGUACAACCAUUUUUGUACAACUUUUAUACAACCUUAUCUCUCAUACUCACAUUAUCUUCUUAUUCUCUCUCUUCUUUUUUCUCUCUAUAUUGUUUUUGACCAAUAAAAAGAGAACACAACAAGGUUGUCCCAAAAGAGGUGUUCAAAUAUCACUACUCUUCUUUAAUUAAUCAAAUAUAUUAUUUAUUUCAUAGUUUACCAUCACUUAACAUGGCAAAUGUGUGCAAUAGCAUGCGUAUUUGCCUAGUUAAAUUGAAAACCUAAAGAAACAUAAAUUAAAUUAUGAAUUGAAUAAUAAAAGUAGAAAUACUAUGACAUAAAUCCUCCCAAUAUUAUACUUUUACUAAAUCCUCCCAAUAGAAUAUUGACAAAUAUUACCCAAACACUUCACAAAUAUAGGUUUUAUCGCUUUUGGACAAUCAUUGAGACUCUUACAAGGAGUUUUAGCUGCAUCAUCAAAUAAGAAAAAAAUAUGUUAAUAAAAGGUGAUAACAUAUUGUGUAUAAGACAAAAUUUGAAAAUGGUUAAAAAAAUAUCAUACUUUUAUAUGAUUCAACAAGAAAGAUAGAAAGAAAAACCAUCAAAGCAUAAACAAAAA